UGUGAACUCGAAGAGUAGGGCGGGACACGUGGUAUCCUGUCUGAAUAUGGGGGGACCAUCCUCCAAGGCUAAAUACUCCUGACUGACCGAUAGUGAACCAGUACCGUGAGGGAAAGGCGAAAAGAACCCCGGCGAGGGGAGUGAAAAAGAACCUGAAACCGUGUACGUACAAGCAGUGGGAGCACCUUAGGGUGUGACUGCGUACCUUUUGUAUAAUGGGUCAGCGACUUAUAUUCUGUAGCAAGGUUAACCGUAUAGGGGAGCCGCAGGGAAACCGAGUCUUAACUGGGCGUUAAGUUGCAGGGUAUAGACCCGAAACCCGGUGAUCUAGCCAUGGGCAGGUUGAAGGUUGGGUAACACUAACUGGAGGACCGAACCGACUAAUGUUGAAAAAUUAGCGGAUGACUUGUGGCUGGGGGUGAAAGGCCAAUCAAACCGGGAGAUAGCUGGUUCUCCCCGAAAGCUAUUUAGGUAGCGCCUCGUGAACUCAUCUUCGGGGGUAGAGCACUGUUUCGGCUAGGGGGUCAUCCCGACUUACCAACCCGAUGCAAACUACGAAUACCGAAGAAUGUUAUCACGGGAGACACACGGCGGGUGCUAACGUCCGUCGUGAAGAGGGAAACAACCCAGACCGCCAGCUAAGGUCCCAAAGUCAUGGUUAAGUGGGAAACGAUGUGGGAAGGCACAGACAGCCAGGAUGUUGGCUUAGAAGCAGCCAUCAUUUAAAGAAAGCGUAAUAGCUCACUGGUCGAGUCGGCCUGCGCGGAAGAUGUAACGGGGCUAAACCAUGCACCGAAGCUGCGGCAGCGAC
RNAcentral lists this ribosomal RNA (811 nucleotides) under Klebsiella variicola. Its description in RNAcentral is "bacterial LSU rRNA". It matches the Rfam family "Bacterial large subunit ribosomal RNA", at positions 398 to 1212 of the family's 2925-position model. The record is from RNAcentral. Lineage: Bacteria; Pseudomonadati; Pseudomonadota; Gammaproteobacteria; Enterobacterales; Enterobacteriaceae.